Transfer RNA from Candida tropicalis MYA-3404, 71 nucleotides. It matches the Rfam family "tRNA". From Rfam's summary of the family: Transfer RNA (tRNA) molecules are approximately 80 nucleotides in length. NCBI's taxonomy places the organism in Eukaryota, Fungi, Ascomycota, Pichiomycetes, Serinales, Debaryomycetaceae. The record is from Rfam.
GCAAGAAUGGUUUAGUGGUAAAAUCCAACGUUGCCAUCGUUGGGCCCCGGGUUCGAUUCCCGGUUCUUGCA